CUGUAAGGAUACCUUACAUUCAUGAAUUCUAAAUUCAUAGCACUUUUCUGCCAAAGUAGUUAAUAAUAAUCAAUAAACAAAAAUUAUUUUCAAGUUUUGGUCCUUUCGUACUAAAAACUAAUUAAAAAUUGGAGAUAGAAACCGACCUGGCUUAAACCGGUCUGAACUCAGAUCAUGUAAGAAUUUAAAGGUCGAACAGACCUAUAAAUUAAGCGGCUACACCUAAUUAUUAUCUUAAUCCAACAUCGAGGUCGCAAGCCCCACUCGUAAAUAUGAACUCUGGGAGGGGAUUACGCUGUUAUCCCUAAGGUAACUUAAUCUAAUAAUCAAUAAUAAUGGAUCAGAUAACCAUAAAUUAAUGUUAAAUAAAUAAAAAAGUUUUUCUUAUUUUCUUGUCACCCCAACAAAAUAAUAAUCAGUUUAAUUAAAAAUUAUAUUUUUAUAAUUAAAAUAAUUAAUAUAAAGCUCUAUAGGGUCUUCUCGUCUUCCAAUUAAAUUUAAGCCUUUUGACUAAAAAGUUAAAUUCUAAAUCCAAAUAAAAUGAGACAGUCAAUACCUCGUCAAACCUUUCAUUCCAGCCCCCUUUUAAAAGACUAAUGAUUAUGCUACCUUUGCACGGUCAAUAUACCGCGGCCGUUAAAAUAAAUCACUGGGCAGGUCAGACCUUAUAUACACUCAAAAGGACAUGUUUUUGUUAAACAGGCGAGUAUUAUAUUUGCCGAAUUCCUUAUUUUAUCAUAAAUGUUAAUUUACACUAAACAAUACAAUUAUACUAAUUUAAUCAUUAUUUCACUAAAUUCAAAAUUAAUUUAGAUAUUUUAAUAAAAUUCUAAAAAUAAAUAAAUUAAUUAAUAAUCAAUAUAAAUUAUAACACACAUAAUAAUGAUGGAUAAUUUUAACCCUACAUAAAUUGAUUAAUAAAAAGACUUUUUAGUUCAAUAUAGAGCUUAUCCCCUAUAAUUUUUAAUUCAAUAAAUAAAUUAUAAUAAAAAUUUAAAAUUUACAUAAAGAAAUUAAAUUAAAUUUAAUUCUUAAAAAACUAGAUACCAUCAAAAACGAAUAAGAUUUCCCCACUAAAUUAUAUUAUUAAUAGUUUUGUAACAAUAAAUAAAUUAAUAACUUAGAUCUUUUGAAAUCGAGAAAUAAAUAUAUAUUUAAUAUAUUUGAUAAACCCUGAUACAAAAGGUACUGCAAAUUAAACAUACUUAAUUAAAAUUAAAUUUUUCAUUUAUUUCAAUAAUUCCUUCACAGUACUAAUAAACUAUAACAAAAAUUAAUUUUUCUUUAAUAUACUAAACAAAAAAGAUACUUCUGUAAUAAAAUAAAAAAUAAAAAAGUAAAUAAAUAAUUAUCAAAUUAAACUGAAUUGC
Molecule: ribosomal RNA, 1370 nt
Filed under: Somatochlora hineana
Lineage: Eukaryota; Metazoa; Arthropoda; Insecta; Odonata; Corduliidae
Description: large subunit ribosomal RNA
Source: RNAcentral